AAUAGAUACCCAGGUAGUCCACGCCGUAAACGAUGAAUGCUAGGUGUUAGGGGUUUCGAUACCCUUGGUGCCGAAGUUAACACAUUAAGCAUUCCGCCUGGGGAGUACGGCCGCAAGGCUGAAACUCAAAGGAAUUGACGGGGACCCGCACAAGCAGUGGAGUAUGUGGUUUAAUUCGAAGCAACGCGAAGAACCUUACCAGGUCUUGACAUCCCCCCUGACCGGUACAGAGAUGUACCUUUCCUUCGGGACAGGGGAGACAGGUGGUGCAUGGUUGUCGUCAGCUCGUGUCGUGAGAUGUUGGGUUAAGUCCCGCAACGAGCGCAACCCUUGGCUUUAGUUGCCAGCAAGUAAGGCUGGGCACUCUAGAGUGACUGCCGGUGACAAACCGGAGGAAGGUGGGGAUGACGUCAAAUCAUCAUGCCCCUUAUGACCUGGGCUACACACGUACUACAAUGGCCGGUACAACGGGAAGCGAAGGAGCGAUCUGGAGCGAAUCCUUUAAAGCCGGUCUCAGUUCGGAUUGCAGGCUGCAACUCG
Molecule: ribosomal RNA, 540 nt
Filed under: uncultured bacterium
Lineage: Bacteria
Description: bacterial SSU rRNA
Rfam family: Bacterial small subunit ribosomal RNA
Source: RNAcentral